GAUGAACGCUGGCGGCGUGCCUAACACAUGCAAGUCGAACGGAGAUUCCGGACGGACGUUUUCGGAUGGAAGCCUGUAAUUCUUAGUGGCGGACGGGUGAGUAACGCGUGGGCAACCUGCCCUAUACAGGGGGAUAGCAGCUGGAAACGGCUGGUAAGACCGCAUAAGCCGGUUAAAUCGCAUGAUUUGAUCGGGAAAUGAGCAAUCAGGUAUAGGAUGGGCCCGCGUCCGAUUAGCCAGUUGGCAGGGUAAAAGCCUACCAAAGCGACGAUCGGUAGCCGGACUGAGAGGUCGGACGGCCACAUUGGGACUGAGACACGGCCCAAACUCCUACGGGAGGCAGCAGUGGGGGAUAUUGCACAAUGGAGGAAACUCUGAUGCAGCGACGCCGCGUGAGUGAAGAAGUAUUUCGGUAUGUAAAGCUCUAUCAGCAGGGAAGAUGAUGACGGUACCUGACUAAGAAGCCCCGGCUAACUACGUG
This 481-nucleotide ribosomal RNA is filed under the name uncultured bacterium. RNAcentral describes it as "partial 16S ribosomal RNA". It matches the Rfam family "Bacterial small subunit ribosomal RNA", at positions 28 to 507 of the family's 1533-position model. The record is from RNAcentral.